Talpa occidentalis (Iberian mole) is the source of this 1245-nucleotide long non-coding RNA. RefSeq lists it as uncharacterized. Lineage: Eukaryota; Metazoa; Chordata; Mammalia; Eulipotyphla; Talpidae. The record is from RefSeq and is a predicted model, not a curated record. The transcript is spliced from 6 exons.
ACCUCCUGGCUUCACGGCUCCUGGCUGGCGGCCAGCUCUCAGAGGCCAUUUGGGAUUCCAGCCAUUUGGGAUUCCUGAUCGGCGGAUUGGGGUUGUCCCCUGGAAAGGAGGAGGUUCCAGGUUUCCUGCCCCACCCAAAAGGAGGGUGGAGCUGAGCUGGGUGAAGAAGAAGCUGCAGAGAAGACUGAGGAAGGAAGGAAGCAGGCUGGAGAACCAGAAGGAGACAUGGAGGAGGCACAUGAGCUGAGAGACGUGUGAAGAAACUGCGCUUGCCGUUUGGUCAUGGACUGGGUGACACAGAUGUGGAACAUGGAAUGGGUAGCAGCAGAUACCAAAUUGGACAAAAGAAAAUCUACAUGUCUCUUCAGCAAUCAGCUUUGAGAGAGACCAGCUAAAGGAGAGCCAGCGACACAUCCAAUCCAAGCCAUGCUCUACUAUGGAUCGCACAAUAUGAUCCAAGAUAGAGGAAAGAGAUUAUAAUGGACAAUAAGAACAUUUUUGUUCCUUGAUUCUUGGAGGAUGGAGACCAGUGUGGCCAGAGUACUUUCAUCCUUGGGGACUAGCUGCUGGACUGGGUUUAUCACACAGAAAUUGAACUCCAUCUAUAAACCGAUGUAAUUUUUCAAAGCCACAUUGCAAGGAAGUCUUCUGGGACAGUGAUUAUCAGAAAAUCCCUCAGGAUUCAAAGCUGAAAAUGACAGCUUCCUUUGCUUCCUAUCAGAAAGAUCUGCUACAAUGGGGCUCAAGUUGGAGAGACAGCAGAAGGACAGCAAGACAUGCAGGGCUAGAUUUGUCUUUGCUACCCUUUGGUUUUAAUGUGUAUUUUCUAUAGCCAGCUCUUCAUUCCUUUUUCCCUUUUAAAAAAUAUUAACUCAUAUUUUGUUGAAAUGAUUGUUAAACUGGUUGGAGAAAUUUUUGAGUAAGCCUUCUUCUGAUCAUAAAAUUAGAACAACAUUGGUGUAUGUAGACAAUCUAAAACAAUCUAGAACAUAAAGAAGACAAGAAAACAAUGACGUGAUUUCACCGAUCUAAAGCUGCUGUUAAUAUUUGGUGUAGCCUCUUCUAGUACAUUAUAGGGUCGAGAUAGAAGUUUGUAAACAUUUUCUAUAUGUAAAAUUUCAUAAGCAUUAUUUGUAAUGGUUGCAUGAUAUUCCAUUGUAUGAAAAUAGCAUCAUUGAUAUAACUUAUUUAAACAUUUCCCUAUGGGGAUUUAGGUCGAUUCCUACAAAAUAAAAAAAAAUUAAU